This 177-nucleotide non-coding RNA is filed under the name [Clostridium] fimetarium. Its description in RNAcentral is "Clostridium fimetarium 6S / SsrS RNA". It matches the Rfam family "6S / SsrS RNA". From Rfam's summary of the family: E. coli 6S RNA was the first non coding RNA to be sequenced, but its function was unknown until recently. It consists of 184 nucleotides that fold into an extended hairpin structure with a large single-stranded internal bulge. Lineage: Bacteria; Bacillati; Bacillota; Clostridia; Lachnospirales; Lachnospiraceae. The record is from Rfam by way of RNAcentral.
AUUUUCCUGGGGUGUUCGCCAACCUGCUAUUUUGAACCUACAUUCAAUUAAAGGGAUUCUUAUAUCUAUAGUUUAAUGUCAGGCCUCCAUGUUAGAGGAAGGCAGCGAAUUAUAUGCGGAAACCCACCUAGCCUAGCUAGGAGUCGAAACUGUAGGAAACGGCAUUUUGGGAUAUAA